AUAGCUUCUGGGCCUUUUAGCUAAGAUCAAGUGAAGAAUCUGAUUCCACAAACCACUCAGAAAAAUUCUAUUUUUUUCUGGUUGCUCCCAUUUUCAUCCAUAGGGACACACUUGAUUAACUUGACAACUUGUUUAUUUUUGUACCUUUGCCUAAUAGUAAACAGGAAUCUUC
RNAcentral lists this small nuclear RNA (172 nucleotides) under Fukomys damarensis (Damara mole-rat). Its description in RNAcentral is "U2 spliceosomal RNA". It matches the Rfam family "U2 spliceosomal RNA". Rfam says of the family: U2 is a small nuclear RNA (snRNA) component of the spliceosome (involved in pre-mRNA splicing). Complementary binding between U2 snRNA (in an area lying towards the 5' end but 3' to hairpin I) and the branchpoint sequence (BPS) of the intron results the bulging out of an unpaired adenosine, on the BPS, which initiates a nucleophilic attack at the intronic 5' splice site, thus starting the first of two transesterification reactions that mediate splicing. The record is from Rfam by way of RNAcentral. Lineage: Eukaryota; Metazoa; Chordata; Mammalia; Rodentia; Bathyergidae.